This 342-nucleotide unclassified non-coding RNA is filed under the name Jannaschia helgolandensis. Its description in RNAcentral is "Long range pseudoknot". Lineage: Bacteria; Pseudomonadati; Pseudomonadota; Alphaproteobacteria; Rhodobacterales; Roseobacteraceae. The record is from RNAcentral.
ACCAAUGAUUACGAAGUCAAGAUGCGCAACGUGUUUCGCUUUCUGGAAACCGGUGACAAGGUCAAGGUCACCCUGCGGUUCCGUGGUCGUGAAAUGGCCCACCAGAACCUGGGCUACGAAUUGCUCAAGCGCGUGCAGGAAGACACCAAGGACAUCGGCAAGGUCGAGAGCUUUCCCAAGAUGGAAGGCCGCCAGAUGGUCAUGAUGAUCGGCCCGACCCAGCGUUAAGUCGUUCUGUUCGAGAUGUAGAAGGGGGCGCUUUAUCAGCGCCCUUUUUGCUGUCCGGCCAUCCUUGUGACGGCUGGAGACUUCACUCCGACGGCCGAUCCACAGAAAAACAGA